UCCCCUAGUAACGGCGAGUGAAGAGGGAAGAGCCCAAGAUUGAAAGCUGGCGCCUUCGGCGUCCGCAUUGUAAUCUCAAGAAGUGUUUUCCGCUUCGGACCAUGCCUAAGUCCCUUGGAAAAGGGCAUCAUAGAGGGUGAUAAUCCCGUACAUGGCAUGGAGCGCCCGAAGCUUUGUGAUACGCUUUCUAAGAGUCGAGUUGUUUGGGAAUGCAGCUCAAAAUGGGUGGUAAAUGCCAUCUAAGGCUAAAUAUUGGGGAGAGACCGAUAGCGAACAAGUACAGUGAUGGAAAGAUGAAAAGAACUUUGAAAAGAGAGUUAAACAGUACGUGAAAUUGCCAAAAGGGAAGGGUAGGAGGUCAGAGAUGCGUCGCAGGAUUCAGCCUUGCUUUUGCUUGGUGUUUUUCCUGCGUUGCAGGCCAACGUCGGUUUUGGGCACUGGAGAAGGGUAGGAGGAACGUGGCACCUCUCGGGGUGUGUUAUAGCCUCCUACUGGAUACAGCGACCGAGACCGAGGAACGCAGCGUACUCGUAAGAGCGGGCCUUUUGGCACCUUUACGCUUAGGGCGUUGGCAUAAUGGCCCUCUACCACCCGUCUUGAA
RNAcentral lists this ribosomal RNA (601 nucleotides) under Pseudozyma hubeiensis. RNAcentral's name for it is "partial large subunit ribosomal RNA". It matches the Rfam family "Eukaryotic large subunit ribosomal RNA", at positions 76 to 658 of the family's 3401-position model. The record is from RNAcentral. Lineage: Eukaryota; Fungi; Basidiomycota; Ustilaginomycetes; Ustilaginales; Ustilaginaceae.